AACAAAUCCACUGGGAGGGGAACACAAUGGUUCUGGUCCCUGUAGAGCUUUCCACACCAAACUGUUAAGCAGGACCUGUCGACUUGCCGGUAGAACAGUGCCACAGAAACGUCUGCCCCUUUGGCUCCUUGCCACCUCCCAGGGCCCAGGACCUUCCCAACACAGGACUGUGGUGGCCCCCUAAACCUGGAAAACUCCUAUUCAUCCUUCAGGACCCAGCCAGUGCCUCCUUCUUACGCAGGCCUCAG
This is a long non-coding RNA of Prionailurus viverrinus (fishing cat), 248 nucleotides long. RefSeq lists it as uncharacterized. The record is from RefSeq and is a predicted model, not a curated record. The transcript has 3 exons. NCBI's taxonomy places the organism in Eukaryota, Metazoa, Chordata, Mammalia, Carnivora, Felidae.